GUUUCCAUAGUGUAGUGAUUAUCACGUUCACCUAACACAUGAAAAGCUCCUGGUUCGAAACCAUGUGAAAACA
RNAcentral lists this transfer RNA (73 nucleotides) under Loxodonta africana (African savanna elephant). It matches the Rfam family "tRNA". Rfam says of the family: Transfer RNA (tRNA) molecules are approximately 80 nucleotides in length. Their secondary structure includes four short double-helical elements and three loops (D, anti-codon, and T loops). The record is from Rfam by way of RNAcentral. Lineage: Eukaryota; Metazoa; Chordata; Mammalia; Proboscidea; Elephantidae.